GACGAACGCUGGCGGCGUGCUUAACACAUGCAAGUCGAACGGAAAGGCCCUGCUUGCAGGGUACUCGAGUGGCGAACGGGUGAGUAACACGUGGGUGAUCUGCCCUGCACUUCGGGAUAAGCCUGGGAAACUGGGUCUAAUACCGGAUAGGAGCCAUUUUUAGUGUGAUGGUUGGAAAGUUUUUUCGGUGUAGGAUGAGCUCGCGGCCUAUCAGCUGGUUGGUGGGGUAAUGGCCGACCAAGGCGGCGACGGGUAGCCGGCCUGAGAGGGUGGACGGCCACAUUGGGACUGAGAUACGGCCCAGACUCCUACGGGAGGCAGCAGUGGGGAAUAUUGCACAAUGGGCGCAAGCCUGAUGCAGCGACGCCGCGUGGGGGAUGACGGCCUUCGGGUUGUAAACUCCUUUCGCUAGGGACGAAGCUUUUUGUGACGGUACCUAGAUAAGAAGCACCGGCUAACUACGUG
This 465-nucleotide ribosomal RNA is filed under the name uncultured bacterium. Its description in RNAcentral is "partial 16S ribosomal RNA". It matches the Rfam family "Bacterial small subunit ribosomal RNA", at positions 28 to 507 of the family's 1533-position model. The record is from RNAcentral.